AUGCUAUACCCGGGGGAGGGGGGAGCGGGACUGGAGCUUGAUUUGGACAGGGGGCGGUUUGUGGCUCCCGUGCGCGUUGAAGAUCCGGCGGCGGCCGCGUCCUGCAUCAACGGCGCGACGAGGAAUCAUAGGACAGACGGGAGAGAUGAGGUGAUGGGAGGAGGAAGGAAGGAACGGGGAGGGACUCACCGACGCGGUGGCGCUCGCCGGAGGCUGGCUGGCGGCGGGGUCACACGAAAACGGCGGCACGCGUGUGGCACCCUCCCCGGCGGCGCGAGCAGGAAGGAGGAGGUGCACAGGAGGCGUAGGUGCUACGGUGAGAUGGGCUUCAGAUGUGCAGCCGGCCCUAGCGCUGCAACUUCUGCAUCAGAGAAGUGCGACCCUGAUGAAGCUGCUCCCCUACAUCAAGGACUACCCCAACAGUGCGGCCUUGAUGGCACAACUCCCAUACACCAAGGACUAGCCCCAUGGUGCGGCCACGACAUCACUGCUCCCCUACACCGCCGACUACAACCUGAGAUCUUAGAACAGGUUUGCAGGUUCAUUGGAACAAAUGUUCAAAAGGAAGAUGCACAGUAA
Molecule: ribosomal RNA, 579 nt
Filed under: Triticum aestivum (bread wheat)
Lineage: Eukaryota; Viridiplantae; Streptophyta; Magnoliopsida; Poales; Poaceae
Description: partial small subunit ribosomal RNA
Source: RNAcentral